CCUACGGGAGGCAGCAGUAGGGAAUUUUCGGCAAUGGGGUGAACCCUGACCGAGCAAAGUCGCGUGAACGAAGAAGUUACUCUUAAUGUUAAGUUUUUUUAACAGGGGAGCAAGAGAAGUUUCACGGUACCUGACGGAUAAGCUCCGGCUAACUACGUGCCAGCAGCCGCGGUAAUACGUAGGGAGCGAGCGUUAUCCGGAAUUAUUGGGCGUAAAGGGUGCGUAGAUGGCAUAGUAAGUCUGCUGUAAAAAUGCUGGGCUCAACCCAGUAGGGCAAAAGAUACUGCCGAGUUAGAGUAUGACAGAGGUAAGUGGAACGAGAUGUGUAGCGGUAAAAUGCAUAAAUAUA
Molecule: ribosomal RNA, 349 nt
Filed under: uncultured bacterium
Lineage: Bacteria
Description: partial 16S ribosomal RNA
Rfam family: Bacterial small subunit ribosomal RNA
Source: RNAcentral